UUGGGGAUAACACCGCGAAAGCGGUGCUAAUACCGAAUAAUAUGUUUGUCCUUUGGGAAUGGACAUCAAAGGUGGCCUCUGCAUGCAAGCUAUCACUUAAGGAUGGGCCCGCGUACCAUUAGCUUGUUGGUAGGGUAAUGGCCUACCAAGGCAACGAUGGUUAGCUGGUCUGAGAGGAUGGCCAGCCACACUGGAACUGAGACACGGUCCAGACUCCUACGGGAGGCAGCAGUGGGGAAUCUUGCGCAAUGGGGGAAACCCUGACGCAGCAACGCCGCGUGGGUGAUGAAGGCCUUCGGGUCGUAAAGCCCUGUCAAGUGGGAAGAAACAUGUCAUGGCUAAUAUCCAUGGCACUUGACGGUACCACUGGAGGAAGCACCGGCUAACUCCGUGCCAGCAGCCGCGGUAA
Molecule: ribosomal RNA, 409 nt
Filed under: uncultured delta proteobacterium
Lineage: Bacteria; Deltaproteobacteria
Description: bacterial SSU rRNA
Rfam family: Bacterial small subunit ribosomal RNA
Source: RNAcentral